This 425-nucleotide ribosomal RNA is filed under the name Escherichia coli. Its description in RNAcentral is "partial 23S ribosomal RNA". It matches the Rfam family "Bacterial large subunit ribosomal RNA", at positions 911 to 1332 of the family's 2925-position model. Lineage: Bacteria; Pseudomonadati; Pseudomonadota; Gammaproteobacteria; Enterobacterales; Enterobacteriaceae. The record is from RNAcentral.
UGUUUCGGCAAGGGGGUCAUCCCGACUUACCAACCCGAUGCAAACUGCGAAUACCGGAGAAUGUUAUCACGGGAGACACACGGCGGGUGCUAACGUCCGUCGUGAAGAGGGAAACAACCCAGACCGCCAGCUAAGGUCCCAAAGUCAUGGUUAAGUGGGAAACGAUGUGGGAAGGCCCAGACAGCCAGGAUGUUGGCUUAGAAGCAGCCAUCAUUUAAAGAAAGCGUAAUAGCUCACUGGUCGAGUCGGCCUGCGCGGAAGAUGUAACGGGGCUAAACCAUGCACCGAAGCUGCGGCAGCGACGCUUAUGCGUUGUUGGGUAGGGGAGCGUUCUGUAAGCCUGUGAAGGUGUACUGUGAGGUAUGCUGGAGGUAUCAGAAGUGCGAAUGCUGACAUAAGUAACGAUAAAGCGGGUGAAAAGCCCG